RNAcentral lists this ribosomal RNA (207 nucleotides) under uncultured bacterium. RNAcentral describes it as "partial 16S ribosomal RNA". It matches the Rfam family "Bacterial small subunit ribosomal RNA", at positions 568 to 774 of the family's 1533-position model. The record is from RNAcentral.
CGUGUAGGCGGCCAGACAGGUCCGUUGUGAAAACUGGAGGCUUAACCUCCAGACGUCGAUGGAAACCGUCUGGCUAGAGUCCGGAAGAGGAGAGUGGAAUUCCUGGUGUAGCGGUGAAAUGCGCAGAUAUCAGGAAGAACACCCGUGGCUAAGGCGGCUCUCUAGUACGGUACUGACGCUGAGACGCGAAAGCGUGGGGAGCGAACA